AGGAAGGUAGUGUAGUUAACACCUGCAUUAUUUGACGUUACCUACAGAAGAAGCACCCGGCUAACUCCGUGCCAGCAGCCGCGGUAAUACGGAGGGUGCGAGCGUUAAUCGGAAUUACUGGGCGUAAAGCGCAUGCAGGCGGCCUGUUAAGUCAGAUGUGAAAGACCCGGGGCGUUAACCUCGGAAUUGCAUUUGUAAACUAGGCAGGCUAGAGUCUUGUAGAGGGGGGUAGGAAGUUUCUAGGUGUAGCGGUGAAAUAGCGUAGAGAUCUGAAGGAAUACCAGUGGCGAAGGCGGCCCCCUCGGACAAAGACUGACGCUCAGAUGCGAAAGCGUGGGGAGCAAACAGGAUUAGAUACCCCUGGUAG
This 367-nucleotide ribosomal RNA is filed under the name uncultured bacterium. Its description in RNAcentral is "bacterial SSU rRNA". It matches the Rfam family "Bacterial small subunit ribosomal RNA", at positions 441 to 793 of the family's 1533-position model. The record is from RNAcentral.